This 477-nucleotide ribosomal RNA is filed under the name uncultured bacterium. RNAcentral's name for it is "bacterial SSU rRNA". It matches the Rfam family "Bacterial small subunit ribosomal RNA", at positions 15 to 518 of the family's 1533-position model. The record is from RNAcentral.
GAUUCUGGCUCAGAACGAACGCUGGCGGCAUGGAUUAGGCAUGCAAGUCGAACGAAGCAGCAAUGCUUAGUGGCGGAAGGGUGAGGAACGCGUGAGUAAUCUGCCCUCAAGUUGGGAAUAACAGCUGGAAACGGCUGCUAAUACCGAAUGUGGCUGCAAGACCGCAUGAUUUUGCAGUUAAAGAUUUAUUGCUUGAGGAUGAGCUCGCGUCCCAUUAGCUAGUUGGCGGGGCAACGGCCCACCAAGGCGAUGAUGGGUAGCUGGUCUGAGAGGAUGGUCAGCCACACUGGGACUGAGACACUGCCCAGACUCCUACGGGAGGCUGCAGUCGAGAAUCUUGGGCAAUGCGCGAAAGCGUGACCCAGCCAAUGCCGCGUGCGUGAUGAAGGUCUUCGGAUUGUAAAGCGCUGUCAACCGGGACGAAAUUCUGACGGUACCGGUGAAGGAAGCCACGGCUAACUACGUGCCAGCAGCAGC